GUAGGGGGCGAGCGUUGUCCGGAUUUAUUGGGCGUAAAGAGCUCGUAGGCGGCUUGGCGAGUCGGCCGUGAAAGUCCGAGGCUCAACCUCGGAACGCCGGUCGAAACUGCCAUGGCUAGGGUCCGGUAGAGGAGAGUGGAAUUCCCGGUGUAGCGGUGAAAUGCGCAGAUAUCGGGAGGAACACCAGUAGCGAAGGCGGCUCUCUGGGCCGGUACCGACGCUGAGGAGCGAAAGCGUGGGGAGCAAACAGGAUUAGAUACCCUGGUAGUCCACGCCGUAAACGUUGGGCACUAGGUGUGGCGAGUUAUACCCAACGCUUGCUGUGCCGUAGCUAACGCAUUAAGUGCCCCGCCUGGGGAGUACGGUCGCAAGGCUA
RNAcentral lists this ribosomal RNA (376 nucleotides) under uncultured organism. Its description in RNAcentral is "partial 16S ribosomal RNA". It matches the Rfam family "Bacterial small subunit ribosomal RNA", at positions 527 to 896 of the family's 1533-position model. The record is from RNAcentral.